Molecule: ribosomal RNA, 253 nt
Filed under: uncultured bacterium
Lineage: Bacteria
Description: partial 16S ribosomal RNA
Rfam family: Bacterial small subunit ribosomal RNA
Source: RNAcentral
UACGGAGGGUGCAAGCGUUAAUCGGAAUUACUGGGCGUAAAGCGUGCGUAGGCGGUUUGUUUAGUCAGAUGUGAAAGCCCCGGGCUCAACCUGGGAACUGCAUUUGAUACUGGCAGACUAGAGUAUGGUAGAGGGGGGUAGAAUUCCUGGUGUAGCGGUGAAAUGCGUAGAUAUGUGGAGGAACAUCAGUGGCGAAGGCGGCUUCCUGGCUUAAAACUGACACUGUGGCGCGAAAGCGUGGGUAGCAAACAGG